RNAcentral lists this non-coding RNA (21 nucleotides) under Caenorhabditis elegans. Lineage: Eukaryota; Metazoa; Nematoda; Chromadorea; Rhabditida; Rhabditidae. The record is from RNAcentral.
UCAGCCUGUGCAUUGAAAUGG